UGACACGGUCAACAUUCCGUGACUACCGCCAUCAGUGAUGUCCAGACGGAGCAGUGACACCUCCGCGCCCUGACGGAAUAGGGCGUUGAAGGGCGUAGGCUAUGAUGAUGCCAGGCAAAUCCGGCAUCAGAGCUGAAACCUGAGAGUACGGGGUCCCCUUCGGGGGAACCUGAGAGCGAGGGUAAUCAUACUCCCGAGAAAAUGGGCUAAACUCAUGUUGGCGGUACCCGUACCGCAAACCAACACAGGUAGUUGGGUAGAACAUACUAAGGCGUUGAGAGAUUCAUGGCUAAGGAACUAGGCAAACUGACCCCGUAACUUCGGGAUAAGGGGUCCUCACCUCCGGGUGAGGCGCAGAGAAUAGGUCCAGGCAACUGUUUAACAAAAACACAGGGCUGUGCGAACUCGAAAGAUGAAGUAUACAGCCUGACACCUGCCCGGUGCCGGAAGGUUAAGAGGAGAUGUCACCGCAAGGGAAGCAUUGAAUUGAAGCCCCGGUAAACGGCGGCCGUAACAAUAACGGUCCUAAGGUAGCGAAAUUCCUUGUCGGGUAAGUUCCGACCUGCACGAAUGGUGUAAUGAUCCGGACGCUGUCUCGGCCAUGAGCUCAGUGAAAUUGUAGUAUCGGUGAAGAUGCCGAUUACCCGCGAUGGGACGAAAAGACCCCGUGAACCUUUACUACAGCUUAGCAUUGACCUUGGUCAUCCGAUGUGUAGGAUAGGCCGGAGGCUUCGAAGCGGCGUCGCCAGGCGUUGUGGAGCCAUCCUUGAAAUACGGCCCUUUGGCUGUCUGAGGUCUAACGCGGAUAGUCGCGGACACUGCUUGGUGGGUAGUUUGACUGGGGUGGUCGCCUCCAAAAGCGUAACGGAGGCUUCCAAAGGUGCCCUCGGGCCGUUUGGUAAGCGGCCUUCAAGAGUGCAAUGGCAAAAGGGCGCUUGACUGGGAGGGAGACAUCCCGAGCAGGCAGGAAACUGGGGCAUAGUGAUCCGGCGGAUGUGUAUGGAAACUCCGUCGCUCAAAGGAUAAAAGGUACUCCGGGGAUAACAGGCUGAUCCCCCCCAAGAGCUCAUAUCGACGGGGUGGUUUGGCACCUCGAUGUCGGCUCGUCACAUCCUGGGGCUGGAGAAGGUCCCAAGGGUUGGGCUGUUCGCCCAUUAAAGUGGCACGCGAGCUGGGUUCAGAACGUCGUGAGACAGUUCGGUCUCUAUCUAUCGUGGGCGCAGGAGUUUUGAGUGGUGCUGUCACUAGUACGAGAGGACCGUGACGGACAGACCUCCGGUGUACCGGUUGUGCCGCCAGGCGCACCGCCGGGUAUCCGCGUCUGGAUCGGAUAAGCGCUGAAAGCAUCUAAGUGCGAAGCUUUCCACGAGAUUAGAACUCCAUUGAGGGUCGUCGCAGACGACGACGUUGAUAGGGCGCAGGUGUAAAGACGGCGACGUCAAAGCCGAGCGCUACUAAUUGCCC
Molecule: ribosomal RNA, 1464 nt
Filed under: metagenome
Description: bacterial LSU rRNA
Rfam family: Bacterial large subunit ribosomal RNA
Source: RNAcentral